RNAcentral lists this ribosomal RNA (803 nucleotides) under Mesorhizobium sp. Its description in RNAcentral is "bacterial SSU rRNA". It matches the Rfam family "Bacterial small subunit ribosomal RNA", at positions 62 to 912 of the family's 1533-position model. The record is from RNAcentral. Lineage: Bacteria; Pseudomonadati; Pseudomonadota; Alphaproteobacteria; Hyphomicrobiales; Phyllobacteriaceae.
UCGAGCGCCCACUUCGGUGGGAGCGGCAGACGGGUGAGUAACGCGUGGGAAUCUACCCAGCUCUACGGAACAACCCAGGGAAACUUGGGCUAAUACCGUAUACGUCCUUCGGGAGAAAGAUUUAUCGGAGUUGGAUGAGCCCGCGUUGGAUUAGCUAGUUGGUGGGGUAAUGGCCUACCAAGGCGACGAUCCAUAGCUGGUCUGAGAGGAUGAUCAGCCACAUUGGGACUGAGACACGGCCCAAACUCCUACGGGAGGCAGCAGUGGGGAAUAUUGGACAAUGGGCGAAAGCCUGAUCCAGCCAUGCCGCGUGAGUGAUGAAGGCCCUAGGGUUGUAAAGCUCUUUCAACGGUGAAGAUAAUGACGGUAACCGUAGAAGAAGCCCCGGCUAACUUCGUGCCAGCAGCCGCGGUAAUACGAAGGGGGCUAGCGUUGUUCGGAAUUACUGGGCGUAAAGCGCACGUAGGCGGAUUGUUAAGUGAGGGGUGAAAUCCCGGGGCUCAACCCCGGAACUGCCUCUCAUACUGGCAAUCUCGAGUCCGGAAGAGGUGAGUGGAAUUCCGAGUGUAGAGGUGAAAUUCGUAGAUAUUCGGAGGAACACCAGUGGCGAAGGCGGCUCACUGGUCCGGUACUGACGCUGAGGUGCGAAAGCGUGGGGAGCAAACAGGAUUAGAUACCCUGGUAGUCCACGCCGUAAACGAUGGAAGCUAGCCGUUGGCAAGUUUACUUGUCGGUGGCGCAGCUAACGCAUUAAGCUUCCCGCCUGGGGAGUACGGUCGCAAGAUUAAAACUCAAAGGAAUUG